This 693-nucleotide ribosomal RNA is filed under the name Orasema sp. PER D4889. RNAcentral describes it as "SSU rRNA". It matches the Rfam family "Eukaryotic small subunit ribosomal RNA", at positions 567 to 1206 of the family's 1831-position model. Lineage: Eukaryota; Metazoa; Arthropoda; Insecta; Hymenoptera; Eucharitidae. The record is from RNAcentral.
CCAGCAGCCGCGGUAAUUCCAGCUCCAAUAGCGUAUAUUAAAGUUGUUGCGGUUAAAAAGCUCGUAGUUGAAUCUGUGUGCCACGCUGUCGGUUCAUCGCUCGCGAUGUUUAACUGACAUGAUUGUGGGACGUCCUACCGGUGGAUUUAGCCUCUUUCUCUUCGCGGAGGGGAGGCGGUCCAGCUAAUAUCCCAUCGCGGUGCUUUUCAUCGAGUGUCGAGGUGGGCCGGUACGUUUACUUUGAACAAAUUAGAGUGCUCAAAGCAGGCCAUCCUCGCCUGAAUACUGUGUGCAUGGAAUAAUGGAAUAGGACCUCGGUUCUAUUUUGUUGGUUUUCGGAACCCCGAGGUAAUGAUUAAUAGGGACAGAUGGGGGCAUUCGUAUUGCGACGUUAGAGGUGAAAUUCUUGGAUCGUCGCAAGACGGACAGAAGCGAAAGCAUUUGCCAAAAAUGUUUUCAUUAAUCAAGAACGAAAGUUAGAGGUUCGAAGGCGAUCAGAUACCGCCCUAGUUCUAACCAUAAACGAUGCCAGCUAGCGAUCCGCCGAAGUUCCUUUGAUGACUCGGCGGGCAGCUUCCGAGAAACCAAAGCUUUUGAGUUCCGGGGGAAGUAUGGUUGCAAAGCUGAAACUUAAAGGAAUUGACGGAAGGGCACCACCAGGAGUGGAUCCUGCGGCUUAAUUUGACUCAACAC